Molecule: ribosomal RNA, 286 nt
Filed under: uncultured bacterium
Lineage: Bacteria
Description: partial 16S ribosomal RNA
Rfam family: Bacterial small subunit ribosomal RNA
Source: RNAcentral
UUAUGCCUACGGGGCGCAGCAGUGGGGGAUAUUGCACAAUGGGGGCAACCCUGAUGCAGCGACGCCGCGUGAGCGAUGGAGUACUUCGGUAUGUAAAGCUCUGUCAGCAGGGAAGAGAAUGACGGUACCUGACCAAGAAGCCCCGGCUAAAUACGUGCCAGCAGCCGCGGUAAUACGUAUGGGGCAAGCGUUAUCCGGAAUUACUGGGUGUAAAGGGAGCGUAGACGGCUGUGCAAGUCUGGAGUGAAGGGCGGGUGCCCAACCCCCGGACUGCUCUGGAAACUGU